GGGGAUUGUUUCGCCAGGUCAAAGCAUUCCAAAUUUUUCUGGUUCUGUUAUGUACCAUUUUUUGCCUUGCUACAUGUGGACCAUGCUUGAUGGAUGGGGUGCAGAAAUCCAAGGAGUAUGAUGGCUGUGGGGCCUGUGGAGAUGAUUGUGCUUUGGGUUUUCAAGAUAUUAUUGUUGCUGAUGCUAGAUCAGGCUAUGAUGCAGGAAGUCCAGUGACUCACUUGAGUAUCAAGAAUAUUUGUACCAAUUCUCAUUCAUUCUGCUUUCCUUCAACAUUGUCUGGUUUUCCAUCUAAAGAGCACAAGCUCAAAGCUGAAGCUUUAGAAGUUUCUGGGAGUCCAUCUGAUAGUCUGUCUUUUGUGGGACCAACUCAGGGUAGCAAGGGGGCUAGUAACAGGAGCUGGUUUUCAGAUUCUUGUAUGUUUGAGUUAUUAAAUGGGAAGACUGUUUCUUGUUCUUUAAAUUUCAAGGAGGGUGUCAAUCAAUUAUCAUCCAUACAAAAGAGUAGUGCUAAUCAAAAUGAUCUUUCUUCAUGUAGAGAUCCUUUACUAAUUAAGAAGAGCACAACUUUUAGGUUGAACACAAACUCAGAGGUGACAAAAUCUAGUCCACUUGACAUUUCUUCAUCACCCCAUGUAGGAAUUAGCCCUCCUGUACUUGAUUGGGGACAUAAACAUUUGUAUUUUCCCUCUGUAGCUUUCUUAUCAGUAACUAAUAUAUGUAAUGACAGCAUUUUACAUGUUUAUGAGCCAUUUAGUACCAAUUUACAGUUUUAUCCCUGCAACUUUAGUGAGUUUUCUCUAGGACCUGGUGAAGUAGCUUCAGUUUGUUUUGUGUUUUUGCCAAGAUGGCUGGGCUUGUCCUCCGCUCAUUUGAUCUUGCAGACAAGCUCUGGUGGUUUCCUGGUCCAGGUCAAAGGCUUUGCUUUGGAGUCCCCUUACAGGAUUACUCCUGUUGUAAGCCUGGAUGUUGCUUCUAGUGGACGGUUGAUUAGGAAUUUGUCUUUGUUUAAUCCUUUCAAUGAAAACCUUUGUGUUAAGGAAAUAAGUGCAUGGAUUUUGGUUUCUCAAGGAAAUAUCUCCCAUCACACUGAAGCAUUCUGUAGUAUUGAAAAUUUUCAAGAUUCGGACAGGACGAGCCUGCUGAGUGUUAAGGAUUGGUUGGUUGUGAAGAGUGACCAAGUUGGUUUUCCAUUGAUGGCUAUGAGACCUCAUGAAAAUUGGGAUAUUGGUCCUCAUGACAGUGAAACUGUCAUAGAGAUAGACUUCUCAUUUGAAUCUGAAGCACAAAUUGUUGGUUCUUUUUGUAUUCAAUUGCUAAGAUCUUCUCAAGAUAAGUCUGAUACUGUUUUGGUUCCUCUUGAGAUUUACCUGGAUGGAAAAGUGGCAUGUAAUGAUAUUGCAAGUUCAGUUUCAGUUUCUCUUGAGGCUCUGGUAUCACGUGAUGCUAGUAACACUUUUGUUGCCAUCUCUUUGAGAAAUGAAGCUCCUCAUGUUUUGAGUUUUGUCAGGAUUAGUGAAGUUGCAGCAACAAAAGUUUUCCAGGUCAAGUACAUGCAAGGCUUGCUACUCUUCCCAGGCACUGUUACACAAGUUGCUACAAUUACUUGCACUCAGCUGCUUGUUGAAUUCCAUGAUUCCUCACCUGAAAUGUCCAAUAUUUAUAAGAACUGCAAAUUAGUUGUACAAACAAAUGACUCUAGUAGUCCUCAAAUUGAAAUUCCUUGCCAAAACAUAAUCAAUAUUUGUUUGAGACAUCAAAAGGGUUCAUCCAUUGGAUUUGACCAUCGAUCUGAAAAGGCUGACUCUAGCAACAGAAGGUCAGGACCAUUGGGCAUUAGCACGCAGUUGCCUUCAAGAAUCAUGGCAUUGGAGACUGUAGAAGCAGAUGAACUUGUUCUGGAGAACUGGAAAUCUCAUGGUACCAAAAGCAGCAUGUCUGUGCUUGAUGAUCAUGAAGUACUUUUCCCAAUGGUUCAGGUAGGAACUCAACAUUCUAAGUGGAUCACCGUAAAGAAUCCUAGUGAUCACCUGGUCCUAAUGCAGCUCCUCCUUAACUCAGGAGAAAUUAUUGAUGAAUGCAGGGGCACAGAUGGUUUUGUACAGCCCCUUUCAUCAAGUAGUUUGGUUCAUAAUGAGUUCAAUACAACUAGUUAUGGGUUCUCAAUGCCAGAGGGUGCACGAAGAGAGGCCUAUGUUCAUCCUUACGGAAAAGCAUCUUUUGGGCCAAUUUUCUUUCGUCCUUCAAAUAGAUGUCAGUGGAUAAGUUCUGCCCUGAUAAGGAACAAUCUUUCUGGUGUAGAGUGGUUAUCUUUGAAGGGAGUUGGAGGAUCACUUUCCCUUGUCCUGCUUGAGGGGUCUGAGCCUAUUCAGAGCAUAGAAUUUAACCUUAACUUGUCAUUUCCCCUAAAUAUUUCUCCUCCAGACCUGGUAUCUCACGUGGAAGAGACCACUUAUGCUUGUUCUCAGCCACUGUCAAAAGAGCUGUAUGCCAAAAACACAGGAGACUUGCCUCUUGAGGUGAAAAGCAUUCAAGUUUCUGGAACAGAGUGUGGGUUGGAUGGGUUUACGGUUCAUAAUUGUAAUGGUUUUUCGCUUAAACCAGGCGAGUCAACAAAACUUCUGAUAUCAUACCAGUCUGAUUUUUAUGCGGCAAUGUUACAAAGAGAUCUCAAACUGACCUUGAGUAAUGGAAUUUUUGUGAUACCCAUGAAGGCAAGUUUCCCUUUAUACACAUUCAAUCUUUGCAGGAAAUCAGUAUUCUGGAUGCGAUUGAAGAAAUUCUCUGCAGUGGUGUUUCUUUCUGCUUCUUUGAUGUUCCUGAUCUUUCGUUGCAUAUUUCCCCAAUUGACCAAUACUACAGUGAGAAGUUCAGGUAAGUCAGCUUGCUUGGAUCUUAAUCAGAAAACCAACAAGUCAUCUGUGCCUGCUGAAACGGAUGGUUUGUUAAGAUCAGUUGCAGAAGGCAAAACCUCAAAGCAGGCGGCUGGUUAUAGAUAUCCUGAUAGUCAACGUGGAGGCCCAGACCAUGGGAUAACCGUUGAGAAUGGGAUGCCAACUCUUGAAAAUCACAAAGCAGUGCAAUCUUUGCUUUCAAAAUCUGUAGCAGUUGAGAAUUCUUAUGCUCUUGAAGCUUCCCAACCUUAUAACCUUACUGUCAGGAUUGGAAAAGAGAACGGAAGAAGGCGAAGGAAGAAAAGGGGUGUUGCUGCAGGUUUAACAGGACUGUUUGAAGUCUCAAGUAGUCAAAGUGGGAAUUCCACACCUUCAUCCCCUCUAUCUCCUGUAACAAAUGCGACUCCUAAGCGUACUUGGUCACCAUCUCCUGAAAUGGACCCUAAUGAGGCAAGAAAUCCAUUUGUUCAAGUGGCUGACCAACAGGGUGAGCAGGUUCAAGUGGCUGAAUCUACUUCCAAGGCAUCUGUAUUGGAGCCCAAGGUUUCUUUAAAAUGGUGCAGUACUAAUUGCUUCUCUUCUAUUCCAGGGGAACUCUUAGUGCCAAGAAAAACUAAUGGCAAACCUGUUUCGUUGCCUUCUGCCACUUUUCCUUCUGGUGAUAGGGCUGUCCCCAAUCUGCUGUACUCUUCUUCUCCAGCUUCAAAAUCUACAAUUGCUCCUCAUGUUCGAGCUCCUGGGCCCAAACUUCAUAACCAGAAAAAAGUAGAAGAAAAGGUAGGGGACGAAUAUAGGUAUGAUAUCUGGGGUGACCAUUUUUCUGGACUCCAUUUAAUAAGUAGUUCAAAGGAUGUAACAACCAUGGAAACUGUAAAGACAGAAAACAAUUCCAGUAGCUUCUUUGUAAGGGGUCCACAGGCCCUUGUGACAAAUUCUGCACCAAAAUAUGUGAAUUGCGAUCAAGAAGAGGAGGAAUGAUAAUUUCACCAAAUAAUUUUAAAUAUCUUUGUGCCUCCAUAUAUUUAUAUAACUUGCUUUUUUUUAAGGUUCAAAAAGUUUUCUUCAAUCUCUAACGAUGUGAGACAUUGCAACUUUUUAUGCGCAUGUGUGGUGUAUACUGUAAAUGAUUGCUUUCGAACUUUCUGUUGCAAAUUCUAUUGAAA
RNAcentral lists this unclassified non-coding RNA (4057 nucleotides) under Hevea brasiliensis (rubber tree). The record is from RNAcentral. Lineage: Eukaryota; Viridiplantae; Streptophyta; Magnoliopsida; Malpighiales; Euphorbiaceae.